RNA transcript from Drosophila miranda, 1066 nucleotides. It is a transcript of the gene named salivary glue protein Sgs-5-like, with no coding region annotated. The transcript is spliced from 4 exons. Lineage: Eukaryota; Metazoa; Arthropoda; Insecta; Diptera; Drosophilidae. The record is from RefSeq and is a predicted model, not a curated record.
GUUCAUUUCUGUAUAUGGUAGCAUGAAUGCGGGAGAAUCCUCAGUUGCUUUUCGUCGGCCCCAUCUUCAGUAUGAAUAGUAUCUUCAAGUUUUUUUUUCUCAUCGCUCUGCUGGGGGUCGGCCUCCAACUUGGUUACGCCCAGGAAAGGGACUGCUCGAAUAGUUGUAUUUUUACUGCCAAAUGCUCGCCCUACUACAAGGAUCUGGUCUGGGCAGUUGUAAAUUGCGUCUGUCGCGUCUUUCAGAACGGCUGUCUUUUUGCACACGAGAACUGCAUAAGAGCAAACCAAUGCUUGCCACCGAUGAUUGCCACAUCCCAGGAAAAGUGUAAGGAGUACUGUCCGAAGCGUUGUACGCGUGAGGGUCCGGCUGUCUGUGGCAGGUUCCCCUACAUCGACGGCGAGGGAGUCAACAGGGAAAGGUAUUUGUCCUUCGGAAAUCGUUGUAUGCUGAAUCAAUAUGCCUGCGAGAAUGCUGUGGCAUAUGUAGAUGAACCAACCAUUGGAGCCUGUCCCUAAAUAAUACAGUGGAAUAAAAUCAUUGGAAAUUCAUGUAAAAUGUCGAAAAUGAAACUUCGAACUGUUCAAUUUGUAGGAGGAACCUGGAAUUUUCAAUUCUUUUCUUCGCUAUCCAAUCUAUCCAUAGUGUCAAUUAUUAAAAAGAAUUUCAGUCCUGUCCGAUUUUUUUUACGGCGUGCUUUGCGCCUUAUCGGAAAUUGUUAUUUUUGUGUGGGACUCUUGGUGGGCUUGAGUAUAAAUAAUAACGAUAAAACCAUAAUUAAAAAGAUAUGAGUGGAACCGCUAUUUGGUGGGUGUGCCUAGAACUCCCUUAAGAACAAAAUAUUCUGCGAGCAGAAUUAUUACUUAUUCCACAAGCGACAUUAUAGUGUGCCCCAAAAGUAGGCAAAUGGGAACUUACAUAGUUGCUGUACGACCCAUCGGACGCUGAAUAUGUAACAGAUUUGAUGUCGCGGUUCAAGACGCUUUUCAAGAGGCCAGCUGCCCAUGCAUGGUCAAGGACUGCUGCAGGUAGUUCCAGGUUCCAGGUACUGAACUGAUAUCCGAUA